Molecule: ribosomal RNA, 254 nt
Filed under: uncultured bacterium
Lineage: Bacteria
Description: partial 16S ribosomal RNA
Rfam family: Bacterial small subunit ribosomal RNA
Source: RNAcentral
UACGAAGGGGGCUAACGUUGCUCGGAAUCACUGGGCGUAAAGCGCACGUAGGCGGAUUGCUAAGUCAGGGGUGAAAUCCUGGAGCUCAACUCCAGAACUGCCUUUGAUACUGGCAAUCUCGAGUCCGGGAGAGGUGAGUGGAACUGCGAGUGUAGAGGUGAAAUUCGUAGAUAUUCGCAAGAACACCAGUGGCGAAGGCGGCUCACUGGCCCGGUACUGACGCUGAGGUGCGAAAGCGUGGGGAGCAAACAGGG